GGGUUGUGAGGUUAAGCGACUAAGCGUACACGGUGGAUGCCCUGGCAGUCAGAGGCGAUGAAGGACGUGCUAAUCUGCGAUAAGCGUCGGUAAGGUGAUAUGAACCGUUAUAACCGGCGAUUUCCGAAUGGGGAAACCCAGUGUGAUUCGUCACACUAUCAUUAACUGAAUCCAUAGGUUAAUGAGGCGAACCGGGGGAACUGAAACAUCUAAGUACCCCGAGGAAAAGAAAUCAACCGAGAUUCCCCCAGUAGCGGCGAGCGAACGGGGAGCAGCCCAGAGCCUGAAUCAGUGUGUGUGUUAGUGGAAGCGUCUGGAAAGGCGUGCGAUACAGGGUGACAGCCCCGUACACAAAAAUGCACAUAUUGUGAGCUCGAUGAGUAGGGCGGGACACGUGGUAUCCUGUCUGAAUAUGGGGGGACCAUCCUCCAAGGCUAAAUACUCCUGACUGACCGAUAGUGAACCAGUACCGUGAGGGAAAGGCGAAAAGAACCCCGGCGAGGGGAGUGAAAAAGAACCUGAAACCGUGUACGUACAAGCAGUGGGAGCACAGAGCAAUCUGUGUGACUGCGUACCUUUUGUAUAAUGGGUCAGCGACUUAUAUUCUGUAGCAAGGUUAACCGAAUAGGGGAGCCGAAGGGAAACCGAGUCUUAACUGGGCGUUAAGUUGCAGGGUAUAGACCCGAAACCCGGUGAUCUAGCCAUGGGCAGGUUGAAGGUUGGGUAACACUAACUGGAGGACCGAACCGACUAAUGUUGAAAAAUUAGCGGAUGACUUGUGGCUGGGGGUGAAAGGCCAAUCAAACCGGGAGAUAGCUGGUUCUCCCCGAAAGCUAUUUAGGUAGCGCCUCGUGAAUUCAUCUCCGGGGGUAGAGCACUGUUUCGGCAAGGGGGUCAUCCCGACUUACCAACCCGAUGCAAACUGCGAAUACCGGAGAAUGUUAUCACGGGAGACACACGGCGGGUGCUAACGUCCGUCGUGAAGAGGGAAACAACCCAGACCGCCAGCUAAGGUCCCAAAGUCAUGGUUAAGUGGGAAACGAUGUGGGAAGGCCCAGACAGCCAGGAUGUUGGCUUAGAAGCAGCCAUCAUUUAAAGAAAGCGUAAUAGCUCACUGGUCGAGUCGGCCUGCGCGGAAGAUGUAACGGGGCUAAACCAUGCACCGAAGCUGCGGCAGCGACGCUGAUGCGUUGUUGGGUAGGGGAGCGUUCUGUAAGCCUGCGAAGGUGUGCUGUGAGGCAUGCUGGAGGUAUCAGAAGUGCGAAUGCUGACAUAAGUAACGAUAAAGCGGGUGAAAAGCCCGCUCGCCGGAAGACCAAGGGUUCCUGUCCAACGUUAAUCGGGGCAGGGUGAGUCGACCCCUAAGGCGAGGCCGAAAGGCGUAGUCGAUGGGAAACAGGUUAAUAUUCCUGUACUUGGUGUUACUGCGAAGGGGGGACGGAGAAGGCUAUGUUGGCCGGGCGACGGUUGUCCCGGUUUAAGCGUGUAGGCUGGUUUUCCAGGCAAAUCCGGAAAACUAAGGCUGAGGCGUGAUGACGAGGCACUACGGUGCUGAAGCAACAAAUGCCCUGCUUCCAGGAAAAGCCUCUAAGCAUCAGGUAACAUCAAAUCGUACCCCAAACCGACACAGGUGGUCAGGUAGAGAAUACCAAGGCGCUUGAGAGAACUCGGGUGAAGGAACUAGGCAAAAUGGUGCCGUAACUUCGGGAGAAGGCACGCUGAUAUGUAGGUGAAGCGACUUGCUCGUGGAGCUGAAAUCAGUCGAAGAUACCAGCUGGCUGCAACUGUUUAUUAAAAACACAGCACUGUGCAAACACGAAAGUGGACGUAUACGGUGUGACGCCUGCCCGGUGCCGGAAGGUUAAUUGAUGGGGUCAGCGCAAGCGAAGCUCUUGAUCGAAGCCCCGGUAAACGGCGGCCGUAACUAUAACGGUCCUAAGGUAGCGAAAUUCCUUGUCGGGUAAGUUCCGACCUGCACGAAUGGCGUAAUGAUGGCCAGGCUGUCUCCACCCGAGACUCAGUGAAAUUGAACUCGCUGUGAAGAUGCAGUGUACCCGCGGCAAGACGGAAAGACCCCGUGAACCUUUACUAUAGCUUGACACUGAACAUUGAGCCUUGAUGUGUAGGAUAGGUGGGAGGCUUUGAAGUGUGGACGCCAGUCUGCAUGGAGCCGACCUUGAAAUACCACCCUUUAAUGUUU
RNAcentral lists this ribosomal RNA (2200 nucleotides) under Escherichia coli. RNAcentral's name for it is "partial 23S ribosomal RNA". It matches the Rfam family "Bacterial large subunit ribosomal RNA", at positions 1 to 2215 of the family's 2925-position model. The record is from RNAcentral. Lineage: Bacteria; Pseudomonadati; Pseudomonadota; Gammaproteobacteria; Enterobacterales; Enterobacteriaceae.